CUCUCUCUCUCUCUCUCUCUCUCUCUCUCUAACCCAAACAAACCAAACAAAAAUGGAGAAAUCAGAAGGAGAAGAGUAAACGCGUGAGUAGACUAAGCGUAUCGUGAGGAGGGUUCAACGAUCACAACAUGCAAAGAAGUUGGUGUAAUUCAACGAAUUAGAAGAAGAGCACGAUCGAAAGAACGUUGGGAUUGAUUGGAGUGACAAUGGUGGUGGACUCUAUCAAAUCUAUUCAGUUCCGGCAGGCAUUCUCUCAGAUUGCUUUUGCGGGGGCUAUUGUGGAUAUUUAUUUUUGUGUACGAAGAGCAUUUGUUCUGUAUAGGGAAGAUAUUUAUUUUUGUACAAUCCUCUGUUUUGGAAAUUCGGUGUUUUUGUAUGUAAUAUUUAAUUUAGAUGAA
Long non-coding RNA from Camellia sinensis, 398 nucleotides. RefSeq lists it as uncharacterized. NCBI's taxonomy places the organism in Eukaryota, Viridiplantae, Streptophyta, Magnoliopsida, Ericales, Theaceae. The record is from RefSeq and is a predicted model, not a curated record.